GAUGAACGCUGGCGGCGUGCCUAAUACAUGCAAGUCGAGCGAACAGACGAGGAGCUUGCUCCUUCGACGUUAGCGGCGGACGGGUGAGUAACACGUAGGUAACCUACCUAUAAGACUGGGAUAACUUCGGGAAACCGGAGCUAAUACCGGAUAAUAUUUCGAACCGCAUGGUUCGAUAGUGAAAGAUGGCUUUGCUAUCACUUAUAGAUGUACCUGCGCCGUAUUAGCUAGUUGGUAAGGUAACGGCUUACCAAGGCAACGAUACGUAGCCGACCUGAGAGGGUGAUCGGCCACACUGGAACUGAGACACGGUCCAGACUCCUACGGGAGGCAGCAGUAGGGAAUCUUCCGCAAUGGGCGAAAGCCUGACGGAGCAACGCCGCGUGAGUGAUGAAGGUCUUCGGAUCGUAAAACUCUGUUAUUAGGGAAGAACAAACGUGUAAGUAACUGUGCACGUCUUGACGGUACCUAAUCAGAAAGCCACGGCUAACUACGUG
Molecule: ribosomal RNA, 497 nt
Filed under: uncultured bacterium
Lineage: Bacteria
Description: partial 16S ribosomal RNA
Rfam family: Bacterial small subunit ribosomal RNA
Source: RNAcentral